UUCAAGAUAAAAAAUACACAUUACAAGUAAUUGGAUGACAUGGAUCUUCAAUCGCUUCCGCUCAUGAAAACCUUCCGCUCUCCGAAUUCCUUGAUCUCUGUAAUCCUUGUUUCUCUGACAAUAUUGUGUUCGCCUCCUUCCUAGAUGAUCUUUUCUCUUGUAGAAACUCUCCUAAUAUAGUGAAAAUCCCUUGGCAAAAG
RNAcentral lists this long non-coding RNA (200 nucleotides) under Lathyrus oleraceus (garden pea). RNAcentral's name for it is "Pisum sativum (pea) long non-coding RNA (PSAT_LNC010362)". Lineage: Eukaryota; Viridiplantae; Streptophyta; Magnoliopsida; Fabales; Fabaceae. The record is from RNAcentral.